UGAUAGCUUGAGGUGAAAUGCAAUUUGAUGCUUGUGGUAUUUGGUGUUUCACUGACUUUGCAGGUCUAAGGUUGGUGAGCUGAUCAUCUACUCAGAGGAUAAGGAUACACAGUAUGGCAUCUUCUGAAGUUAGCCCUGACCAUGUACACUUCAAGCAAGACCCUCACCACACUACUGCCUACCCGCUGCCCCUAUUUGCCUGUGGACUGGAGAUCUCCCACUGGAAACUUUCAAAUUACCUUUAGUGUACUUGAGGAAAAAGAAGAGAAAGAAAAGAGAGAAUAUUAUAAGGUUGCAGGAUGGAGAACAAGGAAUUCAGAAGCUGCUGUCAGGAUUUGCCUCAGGACAAAAUGUUCUCCAGAGACCAACAUGUGAAUAAGUGUAUUUUGAUUUGAUGACCCUUCACCCCAUUCUUUCAACCAUUCUGUGCAAGAAUCCUUCACCCUUCACCCUAUUCUAUGCAAUGUUUACUAAUACUUGAUGAGGAAAUGUAAAAUUUCACUGAAAAGGCAAAUAGAGGAUCUAUUUUUUAAAAAUUUGGAUGAUGCAAAAAAUGAAUGCGAUUUGAGUAAUAGGCCCACGCCCCUAAGCUCUCAUUCUCAUGAGUUAAACCAGAAUCAAGUCUAGCUCAUGACAUGGUGCAAUGAACUCUGCCAUGCAUCCUAGAAUAAUAAAUGCUAUUG
RNAcentral lists this long non-coding RNA (683 nucleotides) under Cavia porcellus (domestic guinea pig). RNAcentral's name for it is "lncRNA (ENSCPOG00000038308.1)". Lineage: Eukaryota; Metazoa; Chordata; Mammalia; Rodentia; Caviidae. The record is from RNAcentral.